Molecule: long non-coding RNA, 3380 nt
Organism: Anolis carolinensis (green anole)
Lineage: Eukaryota; Metazoa; Chordata; Lepidosauria; Squamata; Anolidae
Exons: 2
Source: RefSeq, a predicted model, not a curated record
UUAACCUUUGAAAACAAACUUAGAAUCAAAUUACCUUGAGACAAAAAACAUAGCUUGGAGCUACACUGCCAUAUAACACAGUUUGGAACUGCAUCAUAUGCUCAGUGUAGACCCAUAUACUGCAGUUCAAUGCAGUUGAAGCACAUUAUAUGAGUCUACACUGCCAUAUAAUGUAGCGUAGAUCCACCAUUACCUACCCAUGGAGAUUAGGGCUUACAUACAAAUAUACAAAUGAGGCAAUAUAUGAAGAAGCUUUAAUUCAAGGCACUUCUCUCCAGUUAACAAUUACACAAUUGCGUUUCUUUGGUCUGCUGGUUUGAACACUAGCUCUUGUAGGCAGAAAAUGAAUUUUAGUGCCAUCUACAGUAACAUUUUUGAAACACAGACAAACUAUUAAGCCUGUUUUCUUUAUGGGGAAACCUGGUAUAGCUUUAUACAUCCCUAGAUGUAUGAUAUUGCUAUAGGAUUGAGAGUCAGACUCUGUUAGGCAUGACCACCUGCGUAUAAGGGAACUUCGGAGACGUAAAAUUAUGCUGUUUCGGGCCUAUUUCUAUGACCACAGAGGCCCAGGCAAACAGAGCCGUUUUUGCAGCUUUAGUCAACAGUGAAAUCUACAGCCAAGUGCAAAAGUUUGGGGAAAAUAAAAGUCCAUCAUCUAAGUUGCUAGCAAACCUAUGUUCAAAGUUUUGCUUGCACACCAACUGAAACUUUAACUCCUGGGAUUUUGUUUUAACUCUCGACACCCUUAGGAUUUUGGGACUCCAAGUGUUUUGGACUUCAGCUCCCACAGGUCCUAACAACUGGUAAGAUGGCUGGAGUUGAAGACCAAAACACCUGGAAGCCCAAAGGUUGGGAACCACUGGCGUAGAAAAACCUAUUUGGCUUUAAACAACAUCUAGUGCAACAGUAUUAUCCAUAUUUACACUUAAUGCAGUUUAAAAUCACUUUAACUGCCAUGACUUAAUGCUAUGAAAUACUGGGAGUUGUAGUGAGGGGGACGUGGGUUUAAAAAGAGAAUUUUCAACCCGGGUGAGUAAAAGAAAAAUUGUGUAUUAUGGUCUGGGGGUACAAUCCAGACCUGCAAACAGCACCACAUUCUAACCUGUCUUCCAUAAGAAGUUGAUCCCUAAUGUGAAGCAAAACAUUUGCAUACACCUGCAAACAGCCCGCUUUCCAAACACUACACCACAGACAACUGAUCAUGUAGAUCCCAGACAAUUUGUUUUAAGAAGGGGAGGAUUUUAUACCCUUUGCCCCUUUGUGCAGCACUUGGCUCAGUCCAAACCUUACUGAACACAACAAUCAUGACGACCAUGCCCCAUGUCCAAUUGAGACAAUACCCUAGAUGUGGCUUCACUGCAUUCCUGUCAGACUUACAGGACACAGACAUAUGCAGCCAAGCAGAACUUGACAUGUGCAGACAACUCCACAUUACAUUGAUACAUAAAGUCGUUGGCAGAAUUGGGCCAGGACAGUACGGGAUUUGUGGGAGUUGGGCAGGAAAGACACUGCCCCCACUCUAGAGUGGCACAUGUACAUUUGGAACUUUAAUUCUUGCAGGAUGGAAAUCCUUUGACAUGCAACAGCCCCCUGGGCAUGAGACAAAUCUGGAUGGGCCAGAGUUAAAAGGGCAUACAGUGACACAUACAAUCCUGUCUAGCUCUGAACAUUAGACAGAAUCCAACGCAUUUCAGCAAAAGCUAGAGAAACUGGCAAACUACAUGAUAAGAGGUUUGCCAUCCCUCCAAAUGGGAGCACUCUAUCACCAACACCCAGAUGCAGCACAGAUUGGAAAUUGGACAAAACACAACUUGUUGUCAUUCAGGACAAAUAAAAAGGGAUGUAUCCAAAAUACACCAGAUAGUAAACACAACCAGAUCCAAAUACACACAGAACUCAGAUUGGUAGAGUUCUCUCUCCUCUUGACUUCCUGACCUACAGUGAGUGAAGGCUCUGAUCGUGUUUGGGAUUGCAAUUGUCAUAAUAAUAUUCUUGUGUUGCUUCACUUUGAUAAUAUAUGCUUACAGAGUUACACUAUCCCUUGCAGUGGCCCUAUUAAAGAAAAAAAAUACAACUCUUGGAUGUUGUUUCCUAGUGAGAUCACAGGAACUACACCAGAGAAUCCAGAGUUGGUAGACAUCCAGAGUGGAUGCGGAUGAUUGGCCACAGAACGGGGGUCACUGUAUGGCGACAGAUAGAUUGUUUCUUUGCUCUGUGUGUGCACAAUCUUGAUUUUCGAAGGCUUUCGGGAAAAAAAGAGGAGGGAAUGAGGGGGACGUGGGUUUAAAAAGAGAAUUUUCAAAGAUACUUCUAAUGACUAUAUGUUAUGGUUGAGCCUUAUGGCUCCAAUACUGGGAGACGUGGUCGUAAGACUCCUCGAGAGUCAGACUCUCUUGAGGAGCGAGAGAGGAAACGGCUGCGGGACAUCUUUGCAGAACCAUCUGACGAAGACUCCUUUGAGGGUUUUACUGAGAGAAUGGAGGAAGAGGUGGUUAGCUCAGAGGAGGAUGACAUGGAAUGGACUCGUGUGAGGGAGGAUUUGGGUGUUCCUGGUAAUGAUAGCAUGGGAAGCGACUGGCGGGUUGCAGGAUCGGACCCGUGGACGAGUUGGAGGGAUGGGACGGGAUCCACAGCUGGGGAUGCUGUGGGGCGUAGUCAAAGAUGUUUUAGCUCUGAUGAGGAUGAUGAUGAUGAGGCACCUGGAAUUAGGGUAACACCUGAUAGCGAUGAGGAGUUGUAACUGGCAUAAAAUGGGGUCUUGAACCCAGGGCUAAUUGCGUUGGGCAAGGUAAUCUGGACGAACGCUUGGGCUCUUGUUGGGAAAUUCCUGAAGACGGGUGUGUUUCGUUUGCUGACUACCUUGGACCUCCGUCGUCUUCUUGACGGACAUUAUUUACCUACUCGGAAUUGACGCUGGACUGGCUGACUGACUGACUGACUACGACCUUGGACUACCCUCUCUUUGGUUAUCGGAGGAUUUCGUGGAACCUAAGACGCCUGCACCUGGCUAUCGACCUCGGACCGGAUUGGGACCCCGCUGACCGCUACAACCCUGAUUGAUGUGUUUGGACCCGGAGUUCGCCCGCUGCACGGAGGAGUAACAACUUAGUUGCUCAACCACAGCUGUUGAGUAGCAGAGAGGAAUCUGCUGCCAGUAUUUAUGUUCUAUUGAAUCUUUGUUUACCAGCUUUUGUUUGUUUAAAGUCCCAGGCUGAAGUAAGCAUUUUUGGUUUAACCCGGAUUAAACUCCUGUUUAAUCCGGUUUAGCUUUUGAACCGUUUUUGAGUGACUUUUCAUAUUGAAGGCGAGUGUUUGCCUAGCUCUUUGUUUUUUACGAGCAUUUUUGGUUCUGUAUCUUUAAUAAACUGUGUUGAAUCUUA